AUAAGGUCUGACCUGCCCAAUGAUUAUAUUUAAUGGCCGCAGUAUAUUGACUGUGCGAAGGUAGCAUAAUCACUUGUCCUUUAAUUGUGGACUAGUAUGAAUGGUUUAAUGAGGGAUAUACUUUCUUUAUUUUAUAUAUAUAAAUUUAAUUUAUAAGUUAAAAAGCUUAUAUAAUUUUAAAUGACGAGAAGACCCUAUAGAACUUUACUUAUUAUACUUAUUGUAAUUAUUUGUUUUGUUAUAAAUAUAGUCUGUAACAUAAGUUUUGUUGGGGUGACAAUUAAAUCUUUUUAACUUUAAUUUAAAUAUUAAAUCAUUAAUUANUGUAUAUUGAUUGACCUGUAAUAUGGAUUAUAAGAAUAAGUUACCUUAGGGAUAACAGCGUAAUUUUAUUGUAGAGUCAUAUUAAUAAUAGAGUUUGCGACCUCCGAUGUGGAUUAAAAAUAAGUAUUAGAUGCAUAAGUUUAAUAACUAAAGUCUGUUUCGACUUUUAANAAUUUUACAUGACCUGAGUUCCNCCGGAA
RNAcentral lists this ribosomal RNA (524 nucleotides) under Nabis apicalis. RNAcentral's name for it is "partial 16S ribosomal RNA". It matches the Rfam family "Bacterial large subunit ribosomal RNA", at positions 1845 to 2624 of the family's 2925-position model. Lineage: Eukaryota; Metazoa; Arthropoda; Insecta; Hemiptera; Nabidae. The record is from RNAcentral.